UACGGGGGGGAGCAAGCGUUGUUCGGAUUUACUGGGCGUAAAGGGCGCGUAGGCGGCCAGCGCAAGUCAGUUGUGAAAUCUCCGGGCUUAACUCGGAACGGUCAACUGAUACUGCGCGGCUAGAGUGCAGAAGGGGCAACUGGAAUUCUCGGUGUAGCGGUGAAAUGCGUAGAUAUCGAGAGGAAGACCAGUGGCGAAGGCGGGUCUCUGGACAGUUCCUGACGCUGAGGCACGAAGGUCAGGGGGAGCAAACGGG
Molecule: ribosomal RNA, 256 nt
Filed under: uncultured bacterium
Lineage: Bacteria
Description: partial 16S ribosomal RNA
Rfam family: Bacterial small subunit ribosomal RNA
Source: RNAcentral